CUCGCCGGUCGCCGCUACUUGCGCCGCCGUCGCCGGCGCAUCCGGUCCCCAUCCCGACAUCGAACGCUUCCACUGGUCAAACCCCGCCCACCCGGUGCCUCCUCAUUCGCGCUCGGCCGCCGGUUACAAAGCCUCGCGUCUUCCUUCCUGCGCGCGCCGCCGCCCCCCAAAUGCCGCACGAAGCCCGCCCCUUCUCGCUGCUGCGCUCCACUCCGGUGAGGACCACCAACGGCGGCUCGUGCUUCCUUCCAAGUCCGCCUGCCACUCGGUGCUGACAAAGCAGUACCUGCAAUGACUUCGACAUGUGAACCUGCAAACACCAAAGAAGAGAGUAAGAUCCCAGUGAUGGUUUGGUUUUGGAAAGGAAUUUAAUUUCUUGAAAGAAGUAUGAACUGACACUAAUACUCUAUUACGCAAGUGGCUGCAAUACAUGAGCCAAUGGGAUAUGAUAUGUGCCUUUCAGUUUUCAAUAUUGUGACACUUCUCCAGGCCAUAUUUCACCUUGCCGCCUCAGGUCACAAACCUAGCCAAGCUGCAUAGUACUGUUGCAGCCUUGCAGGUACCUUGUCCUUGGUACCCAGUUAAGUUUCUUUCUGAAGGCUUAUACCACGCAAUGGUUUCUCUUCCUGCUUUCAAUUACUUUAUUUACUGUAGCAGUGUCAUAAAAAAAAUAACAUCUUCCCUGUUUUCAGUUAUCUUAUACUUGAACCCGAUACCGAAUCACCAUGAACUGGUUUCCUCUCAGAUUGUUUCAUUUUCAGGAUCACUCAGAUAUAUUUUCUUUCUUCAGGGCUUCAUUUAUUGGUGAGGGAAGGAACAAGAAACAAACGCACCCCCCUGUUUUUGAAAUGACAUGGUCUCGAAUGUGUAGCCUAUACCACGAUUUUCUAGUAUAAUAUCUUUAUAAAAUCCAAUAAAUUUACAAGACUACAGAAGAUAAAUUUAAAGAUAAACCUACACAUGAUUUUCAUGUUUGACUGGACCUUAUUGACCGAUGUAUCUGUAUUGAAGUGUUAGACGACCUACAGAGUUUCAAUUUUUUUGUCACUGUGCUUUGAUUAGAUAGCUAACACAUUUCUGUUUUAUGUAACCUAAUAUUAUGAGAUUUUGAAGUCAAGGGGCAUUCAGCGUGCUUGUUGAAGCUAGCUGCCGGGAUGGUCUAAGAACGUUUGAUUCCUUUGUGAGCUGAAUGCACAGCGGUGGCCGGAUUCUUCACAAUCUGUGCAGUUCAAGGACUGGGACUCAUAUUUACGUUUGGUAUGUGCACUUCACGUGUUGAGACGAGCUUGCAGUCCGAAGGAAGAAGGGCCAUGGGUAGAUCAGCAUGCACCAAAUACGUGAAACGACCUGGGUUGCUGCUAAGACAAGGG
Setaria italica (foxtail millet) is the source of this 1370-nucleotide long non-coding RNA. RefSeq lists it as uncharacterized. The transcript has 4 exons. The record is from RefSeq and is a predicted model, not a curated record. NCBI's taxonomy places the organism in Eukaryota, Viridiplantae, Streptophyta, Magnoliopsida, Poales, Poaceae.